This 64-nucleotide transfer RNA is filed under the name Entiminae sp. ACP-2013. RNAcentral describes it as "tRNA-Glu". The record is from RNAcentral. Lineage: Eukaryota; Metazoa; Arthropoda; Insecta; Coleoptera; Curculionidae.
UUUAAAUAGUUUAAAAAACCUUACAUUUUCAUUGUAAAAUUAGAGAUUACUCUCUUUUAAAUAC